RNAcentral lists this ribosomal RNA (498 nucleotides) under uncultured bacterium. Its description in RNAcentral is "partial 16S ribosomal RNA". It matches the Rfam family "Bacterial small subunit ribosomal RNA", at positions 30 to 523 of the family's 1533-position model. The record is from RNAcentral.
AUUGAACGCUGGCGGCAUGCCUUACACAUGCAAGUCGAACGGUAACGGGCCUUCGGGUGCCGACGAGUGGCGAACGGGUGAGUAAUACAUCGGAACGUGCCCGAUCGUGGGGGAUAACGAGGCGAAAGCUUUGCUAAUACCGCAUACGAUCUACGGAUGAAAGCAGGGGACCGCAAGGCCUUGCGCGGACGGAGCGGCCGAUGGCAGAUUAGGUAGUUGGUGGGAUAAAAGCUUACCAAGCCGACGAUCUGUAGCUGGUCUGAGAGGAUGAUCAGCCACACUGGGACUGAGACACGGCCCAGACUCCUACGGGAGGCAGCAGUGGGGAAUUUUGGACAAUGGGCGCAAGCCUGAUCCAGCCAUGCCGCGUGCAGGAUGAAGGCCUUCGGGUUGUAAACUGCUUUUGUACGGAACGAAAAGCCUUCUUCUAAUACAGGAGGGUCAUGACGGUACCGUAAGAAUAAGCACCGGCUAACUACGUGCCAGCCGCCGCCGUAA